AGACUACACAUGCAGUCGAGCGGUAGCACAGAGAGCUUGCUCUCGGGUGACGAGCGGCGGACGGGUGAGUAAUGUCUGGGAAACUGCCUGAUGGAGGGGGAUAACUACUGGAAACGGUAGCUAAUACCGCAUAAUGUCGCAAGACCAAAGAGGGGGACCUUCGGGCCUCUUGCCAUCAGAUGUGCCCAGAUGGGAUUAGCUAGUAGGUGGGGUAACGGCUCACCUAGGCGACGAUCCCUAGCUGGUCUGAGAGGAUGACCAGCCACACUGGAACUGAGACACGGUCCAGACUCCUACGGGAGGCAGCAGUGGGGAAUAUUGCACAAUGGGCGCAAGCCUGAUGCAGCCAUGCCGCGUGUAUGAAGAAGGCCUUCGGGUUGUAAAGUACUUUCAGCGGGGAGGAAGGUGUUGAGGUUAAUAACCUCAGCAAUUGACGUUACCCGCAGAAGAAGCACCGGCUAACUCCGUGCCAGCAGCCGCGGUAAUACGGAGGGUGCAAGCGUUAAUCGGAAUUACUGGGCGUAAAGCGCACGCAGGCGGUCUGUCAAGUCGGAUGUGAAAUCCCCGGGCUCAACCUGGGAACUGCAUUCGAAACUGGCAGGCUAGAGUCUUGUAGAGGGGGGUAGAAUUCCAGGUGUAGCGGUGAAAUGCGUAGAGAUCUGGAGGAAUACCGGUGGCGAAGGCGGCCCCCUGGACAAAGACUGACGCUCAGGUGCGAAAGCGUGGGGAGCAAACAGGAUUAGAUACCCUGGUAGUCCACGCCGUAAACGAUGUCGACUUGGAGGUUGUGCCCUUGAGGAGUGGCUUCCGGAGCUAACGCGUUAAGUCGACCGCCUGGGGAGUACGGCCGCAAGGUUAAAACUCAAAUGAAUUGACGGGGGCCCGCACAAGCGGUGGAGCAUGUGGUUUAAUUCGAUGCAACGCGAAGAACCUUACCUACUCUUGACAUCCAGAGAACUUUCCAGAGAUGGAUUGGUGCCUUCGGGAACUCUGAGACAGGUGCUGCAUGGCUGUCGUCAGCUCGUGUUGUGAAAUGUUGGGUUAAGUCCCGCAACGAGCGCAACCCUUAUCCUUUGUUGCCAGCGGUCCGGCCGGGAACUCAAAGGAGACUGCCAGUGAUAAACUGGAGGAAGGUGGGGAUGACGUCAAGUCAUCAUGGCCCUUACGAGUAGGGCUACACACGUGCUACAAUGGCGCAUACAAAGAGAAGCGACCUCGCGAGAGCAAGCGGACCUCAUAAAGUGCGUCGUAGUCCGGAUUGGAGUCUGCAACUCGACUCCAUGAAGUCGGAAUCGCUAGUAAUCGUAGAUCAGAAUGCUACGGUGAAUACGUUCCCGGGCCUUGUACACACCGCCCGUCACACCAUGGGAGUGGGUUGCAAAAGAAGUAGGUAGCUUAACCUUCGGGAGGGCGCUACCACUUGGAUCCU
RNAcentral lists this ribosomal RNA (1429 nucleotides) under bacterium. RNAcentral describes it as "bacterial SSU rRNA". It matches the Rfam family "Bacterial small subunit ribosomal RNA". The record is from RNAcentral.